CGGACGGGUGAGUAACGCGUGGGUAACCUGCCUCAUACAGGGGGAGUAACAGUUAGAAAUGGCUGCUAAUACCGCAUAAGCGCACAGAGCUGCAUGGCUCGGUGUGAAAAACUCCGGUGGUAUAAGAUGGACCCGCGUUGGAUUAGCUUGUUGGUGGGGUAACGGCCCACCAAGGCGACGAUCCAUAGCCGGCCUGAGAGGGUGAACGGCCACAUUGGGACUGAGACACGGCCCAGACUCCUACGGGAGGCAGCAUG
Molecule: ribosomal RNA, 257 nt
Filed under: uncultured bacterium
Lineage: Bacteria
Description: partial 16S ribosomal RNA
Rfam family: Bacterial small subunit ribosomal RNA
Source: RNAcentral